CGCGAGCACUUCCGGGUCGUCAGCUCAGUUCUGCGGUUUCUGCGGCGGCUGGAGAGGUGGUCGGAGAAGUAGGAACCUCCUGCCGGGCUCGUGGCGGCUUCUGUCCGCUCCGCGGAGGGAAGCGCCUUCCCCACAGGACAUCAAUGCAAGCUUGAAUAAGAAAAACAAAUUCUUCCUCCUAAGCCAUGGCAUAUCAGUUAUACAGAAAUACUACUUUGGGAAACAGUCUUCAGGAGAGCCUAGAUGAGCUCAUACAGGUGGGAGACUGAAUUAAAAAUCAAACAUUUUUAUCUUGAUGGGUUUACAGUAAUUCUUGUCAUAUCACUUAGGCAAAGAGAUAUGAGGUAAAAUAUCUUGGACUAUUUGACCCAGCAAGUCAGUAACACUGAUUAAAUUACCUCAAAUUCUUGUUUAUUACACUGUCCUGACAACAGGACACAAAACAUGAUUGAAUGAUAUCAUUAAAUAUAGCUAAAUCUGGGUACAUGCAGUGUUUCAUGCCUCUAAUCCCAGCACUUUAGGAGGACAAGGUGGAAGGAUCGCUUGAGGCCAGAAGUUUGAGACCAGCUUAAGCAACAUAGCACCACCCAUCUCCACAAAAAAUAAAAAAAUUAGUUCGGUGUGGGCGCAUGCCUAUAGUCCCAGUUACUCGGGAGGCUGAGGUGAGAGGAUGGCUUGAACCCAGGAGUUUGAGGCUUAAGUGCACUAUGAUGGUACCACUGUACUCCAGCCUUGGUGACAGAGCAACAUCCUGCCUCUAAAUAAAUAAAGUUAAAUCUUCAAAAAUUUUUGUUCAACAUAAAAAUUGAGAUUGUUGGUUUCCCCCUUCUCAAAUUUAGGGAAGAAAGUCAUAUACUUUUUAGCUUUAAGAUAGUUUUGUCCAAUUUAAGUCUUCUGAGAUUUACAAGUCUGAAUUUAUAUUUCAAUUUUAAGAGAAUUAACCCUUCUGUAUAAUUCUCCCAAAUAAAAACAUAUUAAGUAUUUCCAGCUGGGCACCAUGGCUCAUGACUGUAAUCCCAGCACUUUGGGAGGCCGAGGCAGGCGGAUCACCCAAGGUCAAGAGUUAGAGACCAGCCUGACCAACAUGGAGAAACCCUGUCUCUACUAAAAAUAUAAAAUUAGCUGGGUGUGGUGGCACACAUCUGUAAUCCCAGCUACUUGGGAGGCUGAGGCAGGAGAAUCGCUUGAAUGCGGGAGGCAGAGGUUGUGGUGAGCUAAGAUUGCGCCAUUGCACUCCAGCCUGGGGAACAAGAGCGAAACUCCGUCUCACAAAAAAGG
RNAcentral lists this long non-coding RNA (1278 nucleotides) under Homo sapiens (human). RNAcentral describes it as "non-protein coding lnc-GTF2A2-1:2". The record is from RNAcentral. Lineage: Eukaryota; Metazoa; Chordata; Mammalia; Primates; Hominidae.